CCGGGUGCCGCGGGAGGCCGAUUGCAAGUGUCGACAAGCAAUCGGAAUGCGAAAUGAGGUGGGUUGUGCUUACCGAAGCGACUAGGUCGCCUGUAUGUCUAAGAGAAAUGAGAUUUCAUAUUGAUGCAUAUUGACAUAAUAUAAGAAUGUGAAAAGAAUGCAUGUUAACAUACUAUAGAAAUGCAUAUGAUUAAUGCUUUGAAUGCAUAAUAUA
This 214-nucleotide long non-coding RNA is filed under the name Ananas comosus (pineapple). Its description in RNAcentral is "long non-coding RNA (ACOM_LNC041202)". The record is from RNAcentral. Lineage: Eukaryota; Viridiplantae; Streptophyta; Magnoliopsida; Poales; Bromeliaceae.